Olea europaea var. sylvestris is the source of this 1000-nucleotide long non-coding RNA. RefSeq lists it as uncharacterized. The record is from RefSeq and is a predicted model, not a curated record. The transcript is spliced from 2 exons. Lineage: Eukaryota; Viridiplantae; Streptophyta; Magnoliopsida; Lamiales; Oleaceae.
AAGAUGUACAGUGUAAUCUCAACUUGAUUCUUUUAUUCUUUGAAUUGAAAUUGUUCUUUCGUGUUGAUUUCAUUGUUGAUUCCAUGCUUGAUUCUUUUGAUUGUCGAAUACAUUGAAAUACUAAAUGAACUUACAUAUGCACACCAAUAUUGAACAAUUAGAAAGGUGAUUGUUUUCAACUUAUGCAGAUAAUUUCAUGCUGUGAUGAUUAACCUGUAGAAUAAUUCUUAACUUUUUAAUUCCGAAUCCUUUUUGCGAGAGAAAUGUGCCAAGACGCGUAAAGACAAUGCAAACUGCCAAUUAGGACCCGGGAACGCCUAUUGGUCGAUGGGGUGCCUGAAGACAGUUUGAUAAAACUCCGGCCAGAAAUUUGACAGAAGCGAUGGCCUCCUAAUCUGAAAUCCACCAAAGGCUUAAACAAAUCCCACGUGACCUUCACUUCCAGUGAGCAAGCUAUUGCAUAAUUGUUGAUUUGGCCGCCACAUCUCUCAUUCAGAUGUUGGUUGAGCAAUACGAUAGAUUUCAGGCGACAAACAUUGACUAGUGUGAAUUUUGACACGGUACAGAAUUCACAGGAAAGUUCACUGGUGAGAAUGGCUCUGACUUCCAAAUUGUCAUGCUGGUAAAUUCUUGUCCAACGCCCUUAUGAAAAGAGCUCGACAAUUGGAGAUGCAACGAAACACGUCCUUGUGCACCAGCCUGUUUGGACAGAACAGCAUACUCUCGGACAAUUUUAACAAGAGACCAUUAAAAAAAGAUUGUGAAUGUGAUCAUUUGGAGCAUUAUUCACGUGUUAGAAACUUAAAUAUUAUUAAUGUAGAUUAAGGUGGUUUAACAGGGUGAGGCAGGUCUUUGGCAGACUAUUUGCUAUAGUUUACUUCUUACUUUUGAUGCCUUUGUAUAAUAUAUUUGUAUUAGUGUCUUGAGGAAACUUAAGGGAAAUUGAGAAAUAGCAUUCUUUUUAUGCUUUUCUGAAGGAGGCACCAACAUUUCAUGACUC